RNAcentral lists this ribosomal RNA (440 nucleotides) under uncultured bacterium. Its description in RNAcentral is "partial 16S ribosomal RNA". It matches the Rfam family "Bacterial small subunit ribosomal RNA", at positions 338 to 795 of the family's 1533-position model. The record is from RNAcentral.
CCUACGGGUGGCAGCAGUGGGGGAUAUUGCACAAUGGGGGGAACCCUGAUGCAGCGACGCCGCGUGAGUGAAGAAGUAUUUCUGUAUGUAAAGCUCUAUCAGCAGGGAAGAAAAUGACAGUACCUGACUAAGAAGCCCCGGCUAACUACGUGCCAGCAGCCGCGGUAAUACGGAGGGGGCAAGCGUUAUCCGGAUUUACUGGGUGUAAAGGGGGCGUAGACGGAUAUGUAAGUCUGUAGUGAAAGCCCGGGGCCCAACCCCGGGACUGAUUUGGAAACUGGGUAGCUGGAGUGCAGGUGGGGCAGGCGGAAUGCCUGGUGUAGCGGUGAAAUGCGUAGAUAUCAGGAGGAACACCGGCGGCGAAGGCGGCCUGCUGGACUGAAACUGACGUUGAGGCUCGAAAGCGUGGGGAGCAAACAGGAUUAGAUACCCGAGUAGUC